GUACACUCCUACGGGAGGCAGCAGUGGGGAAUUUUGGACAAUGGGGGCAACCCUGAUCCAGCAAUGCCGCGUGAGUGAAGAAGGCCUUCGGGUUGUAAAGCUCUUCUGUCAGGGAAGAAACGGUGGUGGCGAAUAACUACUACUAAUGACGGUACCUGAAGAAUAAGCACCGACUAACUACGUGCCAGCAGCCGCGGUAAUACGUAGGGUGCAAGCGUUAAUCGGAAUUACUGGGCGUAAAGCGUGCGCAGGCGGUUGUGUAAGUCAGAUGUGAAAUCCCCGGGCUCAACCUGGGAAUUGCAUUUGAGACUGCACGGCUAGAGUGUGUCAGAGGGGGGUAGAAUUCCACUUGUAGCAGUGAAAUGCGUAGAUAUGUGGAGGAAUACCGAUGGCGAAGGCAGCCCCCUGGGAUAACACUGACGCUCAUGCACGAAAGCGUGGGGAGCAAACAGGAUUAGAUACCCGUGUAGUCCC
RNAcentral lists this ribosomal RNA (474 nucleotides) under uncultured organism. RNAcentral describes it as "partial 16S ribosomal RNA". It matches the Rfam family "Bacterial small subunit ribosomal RNA", at positions 331 to 797 of the family's 1533-position model. The record is from RNAcentral.